This 254-nucleotide ribosomal RNA is filed under the name uncultured bacterium. RNAcentral's name for it is "partial 16S ribosomal RNA". It matches the Rfam family "Bacterial small subunit ribosomal RNA", at positions 524 to 776 of the family's 1533-position model. The record is from RNAcentral.
UACGUAGGGUGCAAGCAUUAUCCGGAUUUACUGGGCGUAAAGCGUUCCGUCGGCGGUUUAUCAAGUUUCAUCUCUAAUCCUGGGGCUCAACCCCAGACUGGGAUGGAAAACUGGUAGACUAGAGUUUACUAUGGGGAGCUGGAAUUCUCGGUGGAGGGGUGAAAUCCGUAGAUAUCGAGAGGAACACCAUUCGCGAAGGCGAGCUCCUAGGGUAACACUGACGCUCAGGGACGAAAGCUUGGGUAGCAAAAGGG